UUCCAGACUCCUACGGGAGGCAGCAGUGGGGGAUAUUGCACAAUGGGGGGAACCCUGAUGCAGCGACGCCGCGUGAGCGAUGAAGUAUUUCGGUAUGUAAAGCUCUAUCAGCAGGGAAGAAAAUGACGGUACCUGACUAAGAAGCCCCGGCUAACUACGUGCCAGCAGCCGCGGUAAUACGUAGGGGGCAAGCGUUAUCCGGAUUUACUGGGUGUAAAGGGAGCGUAGACGGCGGUGCAAGCCAGAUGUGAAAGCCCGGGGCUCAACCCCGGGACUGCAUUUGGAACUGUGCUGCUAGAGUGUCGGAGAGGAAGGCGGAAUUCCUAGUGUAGCGGUGAAAUGCGUAGAUAUUAGGAGGAACACCGGCGGCGAAGGCGGCCUGCUGGACCGUGACUGACGUUGAGGCCCGAAAGCGUGGGGAGCAAACAGGAUUAGAUACCCGUGUACU
This 448-nucleotide ribosomal RNA is filed under the name uncultured bacterium. RNAcentral describes it as "partial 16S ribosomal RNA". It matches the Rfam family "Bacterial small subunit ribosomal RNA", at positions 329 to 794 of the family's 1533-position model. The record is from RNAcentral.